Lagopus leucura (white-tailed ptarmigan) is the source of this 441-nucleotide long non-coding RNA. RefSeq lists it as uncharacterized. The transcript has 2 exons. The record is from RefSeq and is a predicted model, not a curated record. NCBI's taxonomy places the organism in Eukaryota, Metazoa, Chordata, Aves, Galliformes, Phasianidae.
UGCGGGGCGAGGCUGAACCGGAGGCGGCGGAACGCGGGGAAAGGGCCGCUCCACGCGCGGAUCCCCCCCCAAACACAGCCGAAAACCAGCAGACCUCUCGCUGCUGGGGCUGCACGGAGCAGGGAUUCUCAGCCCGGCGCAUCGCUGCUCCGUCAGCACGAAGAUCCGAGCUCUGCGCGUCGUUUCCUGCGACAAAAAGAGGCUCAGAAGGGAGAAGCCCCGAUUCCGAGUUUUACCAGGAGCUGCUGCAGGGAAACAAAGCAGCCGACGUGAGGAAUGCAACCGGCCCAUUCGCUGGGGCUGCUGCUGCCUGCGGCACACGGACGUGCCUCUGCUUGUCGUUUCGAGAGCUAUUGUUGCUCGGGGCCGGGGGCCUCUUUGUUUCCUUUUACCCUUUUCGCCAGGCUCGGUCGCAGCCCGCUAUUAAAUUAUUCAAAUCAU